Molecule: ribosomal RNA, 1502 nt
Filed under: Alcaligenes sp. IS-17
Lineage: Bacteria; Pseudomonadati; Pseudomonadota; Betaproteobacteria; Burkholderiales; Alcaligenaceae
Description: 16S ribosomal RNA
Rfam family: Bacterial small subunit ribosomal RNA
Source: RNAcentral
GAGAGUUUGAUCCUGGCUCAGAUUGAACGCUAGCGGGAUGCUUUACACAUGCAAGUCGAACGGCAGCACGAGAGAGCUUGCUCUCUUGGUGGCGAGUGGCGGACGGGUGAGUAAUAUAUCGGAACGUGCCCAGUAGCGGGGGAUAACUACUCGAAAGAGUGGCUAAUACCGCAUACGCCCUACGGGGGAAAGGGGGGGAUCGCAAGACCUCUCACUAUUGGAGCGGCCGAUAUCGGAUUAGCUAGUUGGUGGGGUAAAGGCUCACCAAGGCAACGAUCCGUAGCUGGUUUGAGAGGACGACCAGCCACACUGGGACUGAGACACGGCCCAGACUCCUACGGGAGGCAGCAGUGGGGAAUUUUGGACAAUGGGGGAAACCCUGAUCCAGCCAUCCCGCGUGUAUGAUGAAGGCCUUCGGGUUGUAAAGUACUUUUGGCAGAGAAGAAAAGGCAUCCCCUAAUACGGGAUGCUGCUGACGGUAUCUGCAGAAUAAGCACCGGCUAACUACGUGCCAGCAGCCGCGGUAAUACGUAGGGUGCAAGCGUUAAUCGGAAUUACUGGGCGUAAAGCGUGUGUAGGCGGUUCGGAAAGAAAGAUGUGAAAUCCCAGGGCUCAACCUUGGAACUGCAUUUUUAACUGCCGAGCUAGAGUAUGUCAGAGGGGGGUAGAAUUCCACGUGUAGCAGUGAAAUGCGUAGAUAUGUGGAGGAAUACCGAUGGCGAAGGCAGCCCCCUGGGAUAAUACUGACGCUCAGACACGAAAGCGUGGGGAGCAAACAGGAUUAGAUACCCUGGUAGUCCACGCCCUAAACGAUGUCAACUAGCUGUUGGGGCCGUUAGGCCUUAGUAGCGCAGCUAACGCGUGAAGUUGACCGCCUGGGGAGUACGGUCGCAAGAUUAAAACUCAAAGGAAUUGACGGGGACCCGCACAAGCGGUGGAUGAUGUGGAUUAAUUCGAUGCAACGCGAAAAACCUUACCUACCCUUGACAUGUCUGGAAAGCCGAAGAGAUUUGGCCGUGCUCGCAAGAGAACCGGAACACAGGUGCUGCAUGGCUGUCGUCAGCUCGUGUCGUGAGAUGUUGGGUUAAGUCCCGCAACGAGCGCAACCCUUGUCAUUAGUUGCUACGCAAGAGCACUCUAAUGAGACUGCCGGUGACAAACCGGAGGAAGGUGGGGAUGACGUCAAGUCCUCAUGGCCCUUAUGGGUAGGGCUUCACACGUCAUACAAUGGUCGGGACAGAGGGUCGCCAACCCGCGAGGGGGAGCCAAUCUCAGAAACCCGAUCGUAGUCCGGAUCGCAGUCUGCAACUCGACUGCGUGAAGUCGGAAUCGCUAGUAAUCGCGGAUCAGAAUGUCGCGGUGAAUACGUUCCCGGGUCUUGUACACACCGCCCGUCACACCAUGGGAGUGGGUUUCACCAGAAGUAGGUAGCCUAACCGCAAGGAGGGCGCUUACCACGGUGGGAUUCAUGGCUGGGGUGAAGUCGUAACAAGGUAGCCGUA